GACGAACGCUGGCGGUGUGCUUAACACAUGCAAGUCGAACGGAAAGGCCCUGCUUUUGUGGGGUGCUCGAGUGGCGAACGGGUGAGUAACACGUGAGUAACCUGCCCUUGACUUUGGGAUAACUUCAGGAAACUGGGGCUAAUACCGGAUAGGAGCUCCUGCUGCAUGGUGGGGGUUGGAAAGUUUCGGCGGUUGGGGAUGGACUCGCGGCUUAUCAGCUUGUUGGUGGGGUAGUGGCUUACCAAGGCUUUGACGGGUAGCCGGCCUGAGAGGGUGACCGGCCACAUUGGGACUGAGAUACGGCCCAGACUCCUACGAGAGGCAGCAGUGGGGAAUAUUGCACAAUGGGCGGAAGCCUGAUGCAGCAACGCCGCGUGCGGGAUGACGGCCUUCGGGUUGUAAACCGCUUUCGCCUGUGACGAAGCGUGAGUGACGGUAAUGGGUAAAGAAGCACCGGCUAACUACGUG
RNAcentral lists this ribosomal RNA (468 nucleotides) under uncultured bacterium. RNAcentral's name for it is "partial 16S ribosomal RNA". It matches the Rfam family "Bacterial small subunit ribosomal RNA", at positions 28 to 507 of the family's 1533-position model. The record is from RNAcentral.